GAUGAACGCUGGCGGCGUGCCUAAUACAUGCAAGUCGAGCGAACAGAUGAGGAGCUUGCUCCUCUGACGUUAGCGGCGGACGGGUGAGUAACACGUGGAUAACCUACCUAUAAGACUGGGAUAACUUCGGGAAACCGGAGCUAAUACCGGAUAAUAUAUUGAACCGCAUGGUUCAAUAGUGAAAGACGGUUUUGCUGUCACUUAUAGAUGGAUCCGCGCCGCAUUAGCUAGUUGGUAAGGUAACGGCUUACCAAGGCAACGAUGCGUAGCCGACCUGAGAGGGUGGUCGGCCACACUGGAACGGAGACACGGUCCAGACUCCUACGGGAGGCAGCAGUAGGGAAUCUGCCGCAAUGGGCGAAAGCCUGACGGAGCAACGCCGCGUGAGUGAUGAAGGUCUUCGGAUCGUAAAACUCUGUUAUGAGGGAAGAACAAAUGUGUAAGUAACUAUGCACGUCUUGACGGUACCUAAUCAGAAAGCCACGGCUAACUACGUG
This 497-nucleotide ribosomal RNA is filed under the name uncultured bacterium. Its description in RNAcentral is "partial 16S ribosomal RNA". It matches the Rfam family "Bacterial small subunit ribosomal RNA", at positions 28 to 507 of the family's 1533-position model. The record is from RNAcentral.